Molecule: long non-coding RNA, 342 nt
Filed under: Nicotiana benthamiana
Lineage: Eukaryota; Viridiplantae; Streptophyta; Magnoliopsida; Solanales; Solanaceae
Description: long non-coding RNA (NBEN_LNC001975)
Source: RNAcentral
AGUACUUAAGCAUGUAACUAGAUAUACUUGAAUUCAAUAAGAAAAUAGACUUGAAAAAUAAAACAAUUUCGAGUAACCUCAUUAUUACUAACAUGUUUUAUUUCUGCACAGAAGAAGAUGAAUAAUAAAUAAAAGCUUCUUGGAUUUAGUCAAAGUAGGAUGUAAUAUUUCAAUGAUGCAAAUACUAUUUAUAUUCAUAUUUCGGAUACGUACUACUGUCAAGAAAAUUAUUGUUAUCUAAGUUUAUUGUUGAUUACUUCUAUUUAUAUUCUAAUAAUACAAAUCAAUUAAGAAGCAAUUCAUUAAAAUCAUUACAUCUUUAUUCAUAAAUAAAGAGAUCAU